Long non-coding RNA from Oncorhynchus keta (chum salmon), 1023 nucleotides. RefSeq lists it as uncharacterized. The transcript has 3 exons. The record is from RefSeq and is a predicted model, not a curated record. NCBI's taxonomy places the organism in Eukaryota, Metazoa, Chordata, Actinopteri, Salmoniformes, Salmonidae.
CAGACACCACUAACUUUCAUGGUGACCACAACCAAAACUGAGACUGAAAAAGAAAGAAAGAUUGCUCAAGAAAAUAUUAUAAACAAGAAAUAUCUGGAUAACAUUUGGAUAUGUUAAAUCAAGUCUUCACGAACCUGAAGCCACAACCAACUAGCAGCUGUGAUCAUUAACUAAAUCCAGGAAGGAAAAUAAAUCAAUGAAAAGAUCAGCUUUCUUCUUCACAGCUCUGUCAGCCGUCAUAAGUGAGGAUUUCAGUUUGACUGGAGAGUAGACAGAGGCAUACAGAGCUGUACUUUCCCAAUCAAGAUCAAGCCUGGACUAAAAUGUCUUCCCAAUCAGCAACAAUGGAGAACAUUCCACUGACUGCUGUCCCAGGUACAGGUGAAACGACAGAUGCCCAAAAUGACACCACCUGCCUUCAAGUGAUCACCUGCUGUGGUCGUGACCAUACUGUUCCCUCCUGUGCCAAGGACAGGGACUAUAGGAGACUGGCCAUUAGCAGCAUCAUCUGUGGACUCUCCUGCAUUGGAAUUUUAGCUUUGGUCAACUCAGUCAAGGCUCGAGAGGCAAGGAAGACGACUCCAGAGAAGGCUAAACAAUACUCCCAACGGGCAAAAACGUUUGGGAUCAUUUCUAUUGUGGUGUGGGUGGCGAUUCUGGUACUCAGCCCACUACUAUUGGUACUGGUGUCAUACAUACUCACUCUGAUAGACUGACCAAUUCCCAGGAACCACCAAGGUGGAUGUACUGUACCAUAAGGAUGGCUACAGGACAGCGGUCCAACUUCUUCAGUAUUAAUCUUGGACUGCCGUGACACUGUGAGGUGGGAACAGAUGGAAAAGCACCUCCGGUGACUCAGGGAUACAGCCUCCCUGAGUAUCAUUCUGAUAAGGCUGUCUUGCUGAUAAGGAUUUACAAAGGCACCUUUAACUUUCUUUUGUGUCAAACUGGAAUUUAUCACUGGAAGACUGGUUUAUAGUUAACAUUCAAGUGAUGCCACAGCUAUAAAUACAUUAUAAAUAU